GACAGAGGGUGCAAACGUUGUUCGGAAUUACUGGGCGUAAAGCGCGUGUAGGCUGUUUCGAAAGUCGGAUGUGAAAGCCCUGGGCUCAACCUAGGAAGUGCAUUCGAAACUUCGAGACUCGAGUCCUGGAGAGGAUCGCGGAAUUCUCGGUGUAGAGGUGAAAUUCGUAGAUAUCGAGAGGAACACCGGUGGCGUAGGCGGCGAUCUGGACAGUGACUGACGCUGAGACGCGAAAGCGUGGGGAGCAAACAGG
RNAcentral lists this ribosomal RNA (253 nucleotides) under uncultured bacterium. RNAcentral's name for it is "partial 16S ribosomal RNA". It matches the Rfam family "Bacterial small subunit ribosomal RNA", at positions 524 to 776 of the family's 1533-position model. The record is from RNAcentral.